ACUCUCUCCAAAAGGCUUCUUGUUAAUUUAUUUUUCGAGACCAUAAGUACUUUUUGGUUUUAUUUUUUUAAUCUUGUGAAGGACCCCAGGAUUCAUGUAAUGUGUUCUGUUACGAACGCCGUUGGGUAUUAAUGUGGAAAAUGAAUUCGUCGUGUAUUAAUUUCCAUCCGAUUUAUUAGUUUUAGAUUUUUCGUCUGGUCUAAACUAUCAUCUAGGGCGAUUGAUCCCAAAACGAAAGUUCAUCUGCCUGGUUUUUAAUUGCGAAUUUGAAUUGUUUUAAACUUGUUGUAUUAAUUGGAACUUUAUAAAUAACUUCUUAAUAUGUUACUUUUUAAAAAAAUAUUUUAAAUUGUACUUUUUUGUAUUGUACUUUAUUUCUAAGGUAAUUUCGUCUGUUGGUGUUAAAUUUAUUGUUUGUAUUUCCCUUCGUAAAAAAAGUUGCAUUUUUCACAAAAUUGAGUCUUUUUUUUUUGUUGGUAAUUGAAUUCUCUAUGCUCUGGUAGUUUUUAGUAUCAAGUUUUUAUUGUUGUAGGUGUGAUAAUUAUAUAAUUUCACUGCAUACUAGGAGUGAGGUGUGAUUAUAUUUUCACAGCGUACUUGGAGUCAUCUCUUACUGAUUCUUCGUUGUUUAAAAAAUUAUGCUUUUCGAUUUUGGCAAAAAAUAUCAUUGUCCCUAGAUCAUCUCAUUCUCUCUAGACUAAUAUGGACCCCCGUUUUGAAUUUAGCAUGUUACUUUCUUGUUUUGAUUUUACAUACCUUAUAUGUUUUUGAUGUGUGGUUGGGGAGAAUUUGAUAGUGUCUCUGGGAACAUUUUAGGUUCUAAAUAUAAUCGUGUUUAACUUCGAAAUUCAUCUGAAUAAAUGGGAGAGCUCAGAGUUUACACGAUAAUUAAAUUUUAAUGUUAUUUUGAAUUAAAUUUUUAUUCUCAGAGUCUACACUCCCAAUGGGGGUGCUCGCUAUAGUAGAUCUGUAAGCUCAAAGAGAUUUGGAGUCCGACCUCCUUCGACCCGUGGCGCACCGUAAGUGAUUCAUGGCUUGCUAUGUACUAUGUUGUUUGAUUUUUGCAUUUUAGCACCCAUUUUCCAUCAUUCUACCAAAGACCCAUUAAAUAAUUGGAGAUGGCAUUUGAGUUUGCAGACUCGAGUAAAUACUCCAACAACAAAGGUAAAGAACUUGGAACAACAAGAAAACUCACGAUCUAAGAUCGAGUGUGGUAAAUCACCACACCACCAAGGGAAAAACGUCCAGCUCGAGAGAAGGUAAGAAUGCAGGCUGUAAGAAGACAAACCCACUAGGAAACUCACCCCAAUGCUCAAAAGGUCUGACACAGCGAAGGAUCAGCCCAAGUCCUGUCCUGUCCCUUGAAGGGGAGGAUAUAGUCUAUAGGCCUUGACCCUACAUAAAUUGGGUAUAAGACAAGAAGCCCAAAAAUGAGACGGCUCACCACCAAAAAGAAACCCUCGAAUAAAGACACGAUGAUAAGUGUAUUAAAUUUGUUGGAAUUACAUGCCGAAACAAAAUAGAAAUAUUAUUUAUUUAUAGAAAAAUAUUAUCAAUUUGAUAGUAUUUUUUAACACAAAA
Molecule: long non-coding RNA, 1581 nt
Organism: Cucurbita maxima (winter squash)
Lineage: Eukaryota; Viridiplantae; Streptophyta; Magnoliopsida; Cucurbitales; Cucurbitaceae
Exons: 2
Source: RefSeq, a predicted model, not a curated record